This 3391-nucleotide long non-coding RNA is filed under the name Equus caballus (horse). RNAcentral's name for it is "lncRNA (ENSECAG00000049972.1)". Lineage: Eukaryota; Metazoa; Chordata; Mammalia; Perissodactyla; Equidae. The record is from RNAcentral.
UCUCUAACCACAGCAGGUGAAAGGAAAAGCAAAGUUCUGCAAAAUUCCAGGAAGAUGAAGCACGUGCGUGGUGUGGUGCCAGAGGACUACUCGUGUCCACAGCCACACUGCUCUUGACAGCGUCUCCUGCUGCACUGCUGGGCCUGCAACAGAAUCCUGGGAAAUCAGAUUGCUAGCGACAGAAAGGAACUCCACGUCUAUUUAGUCCAACUUCCUCCAAUGAGGAAAUGAAGUUGUAGGAGGAUUCACAGGAAGCGAUCAUUAUGUCAGAAUCUGUGAAGAUCAGGUUCUAAUUAUCAAGGGGUGAAAACCAACAUGCAAAUAUUUGCUAUUGAUAAGAUACUUAGAAAUCAGAAUGGCUUCUCACGCCCAUAGUAAGCUCUCCUCACAGGACUUGCAAAUUUGAGUUUACUGCUCCCACACUAAUUAGGCAAAGAAAGCAGGCCUGGAGUGUACAUGUCGUAUAUGCCCUAGAAAAUGGCCAUUGUACUUUGCUGCACGGAGACACUGCUACUGAGGGUGUCCCAGCAUAGCCAGGAAAUGGCAGAGGUGAAGGUCGUGGUCUCUGGUAUGGUAAUGGGUGGGGUCACAGACAAUGGCAGACUUUAAAGUGUGUGUACCACUAAGAGACCAUCCAGAGGAUUAUGAAGAAAGCUGGUAUUGGAGUCAGAAACAAACAUUAGACUCCGUGAAGUCUAAGUUGUCCAUGAAGGACCAACACUAAGAGUUCAUCAUGGUCUUGUGAACCCCCAGCACCGUGCCUGUCUCAGAAGAGGAGUUCAAAACUGUGAAUGAACAAAUUAACUGCCUGGGUUCAGAUCCUCGCUCUGCCACUUACCAACAGUAUGAUCUUAGGGAAGUUCUGGAACUUCUCUGUGCCUCCACCUCCUUGCCUGUAAAUGGAGAUCAUGAUAAUACCUGUCUCAGGAUUAUUGUGGAGAAAAUGUAGACAGUUUAGCACAGCACAUAGCACAUAGCAAGAGCUCAGUAACUGUAAGUUCUUAUUGUUCUGACUCUUCAGGAUUAUUAUUAUUACUGACUUUUGAUCAGUUCUGGUAAAUGGUCUGCACACAAUAAUAUUCACCUUACACAAACACCUAAAGAGUUAACUUGACACAUUAGCAGCUGUUUUACCAUCAGCAACAGUCCACAAAGAGACAGCUAAGUUUUUGUUUGCUUGUUUGUUUCUGCCAAUUGAAUUUUAAGAUCCUCUGCUUCACUAUAAUUAACUCUUUGAACUGGCAAGGUGCUUUCAGUGUAAUCACCAGCUGUCAGUUCUUCCUGCCUCUCCCACCUUACACCAGGAGCUCAGGGAUGUGCGUCCUGGGACUCUAUCUUGGGACUUCAGAGUUUUGAGAGCACACAGAGGAACAGGAUGCACCCAUCAUUUAUCUGGAGGUCACUUAAAUAAUUUCUGCAACGAGGAGAGACAAUGUGAAAGAAGGGGAAUUUUAUUUUUUAGCAAACUAACUUGCUAACGGCUUCCAGCCAGGGCUCAACCCAACCCUUUGUGCCCUGCAGUCAUGGCUGUGUCUUUAAAAGAAAACCGAUUCUCUGGAAUGCUGUGCGUGCACAUGCCUGUCGGACUCGGCAGGCCCCACCUGCCGAGCAGGUAAACCAGAUCCUCCACACCGGCCUCUGCAGCCACAUUCCAGCCAGGCAAGCUCCUACUCUCUAAUUGUUACCUGUCAAACAGGUCAACCAGGCACUUGGGUCCAGUCCAAACACGCGCAUGUUCCCACGAAACCCUAAACCUGCAAACCUUUGACCUUUUCAUAGGACCCGAGGUCCCUUGAUUAUUUUAGCCGGGGCUGAUUUAAAUCCAAAUGAUGACUUCUUCACAGGCACACAAGUUCUUUUUUCUCCCUCACCAGGGUUGGUAACGCUGAUCAUACACUGUUUGGGGUUUCUGGACUAGCACACCGUGGUAAUUCACGAUGACCGGAAGGCAGACGUUGAAGUGGCAAGGGCUCCUGAAAUGAAAUCCGCUGGCCCUAAAUCACUCAUGGAAAUCGCAGGCUGUCUACCCUGACUAAAUGGGGAGUGAAUUCCCUAGGGUGGAUUAAAGGAGAGGUGAUGCACAGGUGAACAUUCCCUUCCUCUCCAUUCUGGUACUGGGCUGGCAGCGGAGACUGUGGCCGAUGGGCUCAGCUCCAAACCUGGAAGACCUCAAGCAAGGGACGUGAACUCUCUGGGCCUCAGUUUCCCAUCUUUGGUAAAGAGAAGGAAGGCCACACAGGUCAUAAGGCCCGUUCCACCACCAUCUCUAGGUUCUUUCCUUUCAUUGAUGCCACUCAAAGUAGGGGAAUCAUGUUACAGGAAUGCUGAUGCCUCUGCACCCUUGUUAUCUGGGCUGGGUGGGGGCUUGGGUACUGCUGGGGGGACCCUAAAUCAGCUGAGGGCCUGUUUUGUUUAGGUUACCAGGUUUGGGGACUUUCCUCAAGUGUGAAAAAGCCCUGGGCUUCCCCUCUUGGGACAUCAGGAUAUCCAUCUUAGCCUCAGUUACCCCUCUGUAUCUAUCUAGUGAGUUCAGUCUUUUAUAAUUGGGAGAGAUGAUUAUUUCCAUUGUUUUUGUAGCACAGACUAUCCAUUUUAUUCUACUGAAUCAAAACUACAGGCUCCCUGAACCUAGACACUUCAUUUUACAGAUAAAGAACCUGAGACCUAGAGAGGGGGCAUGAGCUGCAGGAUGUCUCUCAAUUAGUCAGGCUCCUCACUUAAGGGACCGUGGGAGUUGGUGAACAUUGCGGGCUAGCAAAAUCAUUGCCAGAGAAGUGACAUCUGAAGAUAUUCCCAAGACUGCUCCAAUUAAGGAAUUUCAAAAAUCCAGGCAAAGAACACAAGCUCUCAAGCAGGUUUCUGAGAUGGGCAGUGCUGUCCGGCCAGUUUGCUGGGGGGUUCUCCUCUCUGGCUGGACAGGUUAUUCUACAAAGAGCUGAGGAUCACUGCGUGCAGAGCAGGAACUAGCACUUCCUGCUCCUUCAUCCAGCUCAGACUUGUCCACCAGAGCCAAACUGGCUGGGCUGGCUCCCGAGAGAGAAACUUCCUUGGGGCUCUGGGAUGGUGGAGUCGGGCAGUCUGCAAGCCGGCUUAGCAUCCUUCUCACCAGCCGCAUGCUUUAGGAAGAGCAAAGCACAGAGUGCACGGGCUCAAGGAGGGAGAUUUCAAUGAGAAGCCCACCUGGCUUGUCUUCUGGGGUGCCGUUAAUUCAAGAGAGCUGCUGUAUGCUGGGGGUGCCAAGACCCCCCCACAGAGGGGCUAUAUGUACUGAAGGGGCCAUCAGAGGUCAAACCGGAUGAAUGGGCACUUCGUCUCCUUGUAAAGACCUCUCGGGGAGCAUGUAAACCACUAUUUAAUUGCUUUAAAAUAAAUAUUAAACAGUAUUCACACA